CACGUAGGGUGCGAGCGUUGUCCGGAAUUAUUGGGCGUAAAGAGCUCGUAGGCGGUGUGUCGCGUCGGCCGUGAAAACCUGCAGCUUAACUGUGGGCGUGCGGUCGAUACGGGCAUCACUGGAGUUCGGCAGGGGAGACUGGAAUUCCUGGUGUAGCGGUGAAAUGCGCAGAUAUCAGGAGGAACACCGGUGGCGAAGGCGGGUCUCUGGGCCGAUACUGACGCUGAGGAGCGAAAGCGUGGGGAGCGAA
This 250-nucleotide ribosomal RNA is filed under the name uncultured bacterium. RNAcentral describes it as "partial 16S ribosomal RNA". It matches the Rfam family "Bacterial small subunit ribosomal RNA", at positions 524 to 772 of the family's 1533-position model. The record is from RNAcentral.